Molecule: non-coding RNA, 147 nt
Organism: Camelina sativa (false flax)
Lineage: Eukaryota; Viridiplantae; Streptophyta; Magnoliopsida; Brassicales; Brassicaceae
Source: RefSeq, a predicted model, not a curated record
CUUCUUCCACCUCUUCAUCUGAUCGCAGCCAUUAACGUCGAUUAAGGUUUAAGUUGGAUGACUUGGAUCCAUAGCCUCUCACGCACUACGUUACUUGAGUGCUUCUUUAACUUCAAACUUGGCCCUGCUCUUCCUCCAAGCUUUGAG